RNAcentral lists this ribosomal RNA (821 nucleotides) under uncultured bacterium. RNAcentral's name for it is "bacterial SSU rRNA". It matches the Rfam family "Bacterial small subunit ribosomal RNA", at positions 96 to 954 of the family's 1533-position model. The record is from RNAcentral.
UGGCAGACGGGUGAGUAACAUGUGGGUAUCUACCCUUUGGCCUGGAAUAACACGAGGAAACUUGUGCUAAUACCGGAUAAGUCUUUACGGAGAAAGCUUUAUGCACCAUUGGAUGAGCCCGCACUUGAUUAGUUUGUUGGUAGGGUAAUAGCCUACCAAGACUAUGAUCAAUAGCUGAUUUGAGAGGAUGAUCAGCCACAUUGGGACUGAGACACGGCCCAAACUCCUACGGGAGGCAGCAGUGGGGAAUCUUGCACAAUGGAGGAAACUCUGAUGCAGCGAUGCCGCGUGAGUGAAGAAGGCCUUUGGGUUGUAAAGCUCUUUCGUCGGGGAAGAAAAUGACUGUACCCGAAUAAGAAGGUCCGGCUAACUUCGUGCCAGCAGCCGCGGUAAUACGAAGGGACCUAGCGUAGUUCGGAAUUACUGGGCUUAAAGAGUUCGUAGGUGGUUGAAAAAGUUGGUGGUGAAAUCCCAGAGCUUAACUCUGGAACUGCCAUCAAAACUUUUCAGCUAGAGUAUGAUAGAGGAAAGCAGAAUUUCUAGUGUAGAGGUGAAAUUCGUAGAUAUUAGAAAGAAUACCAAUUGCGAAGGCAGCUUUCUGGAUCAUUACUGACGCUGAGGAACGAAAGCAUGGGUAGCGAAGAGGAUUAGAUACCCUCGUAGUCCAUGCCGUAAACGAUGUGUGUUAGACGUUGGAAAUUUAUUUUCAGUGUCGCAGCGAAAGCAAUAAACACACCGCCUGGGGAGUACGACCGCAAGGUUAAAACUCAAAUGAAUUGACGGGGACCCGCACAAGCGGUGGAGCAUGUGGUUUAAUUCGA